This 253-nucleotide ribosomal RNA is filed under the name uncultured bacterium. RNAcentral's name for it is "partial 16S ribosomal RNA". It matches the Rfam family "Bacterial small subunit ribosomal RNA", at positions 524 to 776 of the family's 1533-position model. The record is from RNAcentral.
UACAGAGGGGGCAAGCGUUGUUCGGAAUUACUGGGCGUAAAGGGCGCGUAGGCGGCGUGCUAAGUCGAACGUGAAAUCCCCGGGCUCAACCCGGGAACUGCGUCCGAGACUGGCAUGCUUGAAUCCGGGAGAGGGAUGUGGAAUUCCAGGUGUAGCGGUGAAAUGCGUUGAUAUCAGGAGGAACACCCAUGGCGAAGGCAGCAAACUGGGCAUCAACUGACGCUGAGGCGCGAAAGCGUGGGUAGCAAACAGG